AGAACGAACGCUGGCGGCAGGCCUCAAACAUGCAAGUCUAGGGGGUGUAGCAAUACAUCACCGGCGGACGGGUGCGUAACACGUGGGAAUAUACCUUUUGGUUCGGAACAACGCAGGGAAACUUGCGCUAAUACCGAAUGUGCCCUUACGGGGAAAGAUUAAUCGCCAAAGGAUUAGCCCGCGUAGGAUUAGCUAGUUGGUGAGGUAAUGGCUCACCAAGGCUCCGAUCCUUAGCUGUUCUGAGAGGAAGAUCAGCCACACUGGGACUGAGACACGGCCCAGACUCCUACGGGAGGCAGCAGUUGGGAAUCUUGGACAAUGGGGGAAACCCUGAUCCAGCCAUGCCGCGUGAGUGAUGAAGGCCUUCAGGUUGUAAAACUCUUUCGACGGGGACGAUAAUGACGGUACCCGUAGAAGAAGCUCCGGCUAACUUCGCGCCAGCAGCCGC
RNAcentral lists this ribosomal RNA (448 nucleotides) under uncultured bacterium. Its description in RNAcentral is "SSU rRNA". It matches the Rfam family "Bacterial small subunit ribosomal RNA", at positions 26 to 518 of the family's 1533-position model. The record is from RNAcentral.